AGAGUUUGAUCCUGGCUCAGAACGAACGCUGGCGGCGUGCUUAACACAUGCAAGUCGAACGAGAAAGUUUCCUUCGGGAAGCGAGUAGAGUGGCGCACGGGUGAGUAACGCGUAGGUAAUCUAUCCUAAUAUUUGGGAUAACAUCGGGAAACUGGUGCUAAUACCGGAUACCCUUCUUUGCUGCUGGGCAAAGGAGGAAAGGUGGCCUCUUCAUGAAAGCUACCGUAUAAGGAUGAGCCUGCGUACCAUUAGCUAGUAGGUGGGGUAAUGGCCCACCUAGGCAACGAUGGUUAGCGGGUCUGAGAGGAUGAUCCGCCACACUGGAACUGGAACACGGACCAGACUCCUACGGGAGGCAGCAGUGAGGAAUAUUGCGCAAUGGGGGAAACCCUGACGCAGCGACGCCGCGUGAGUGAGGAAGGUUUUCGGAUCGUAAAGCUCUGUCAGAAGGGAAGAAGUGUUAUAUGGUUAAUACCCGUAUAAUUUGACGGUACCUUCAGAGGAAGCACCGGCUAACUCCGUGCCAGCAGCCGCGGUAAUACGGAGGGUGCAAGCGUUGUUCGGAAUUACUGGGCGUAAA
RNAcentral lists this ribosomal RNA (580 nucleotides) under uncultured Pseudomonadota bacterium. RNAcentral describes it as "bacterial SSU rRNA". It matches the Rfam family "Bacterial small subunit ribosomal RNA", at positions 8 to 564 of the family's 1533-position model. Lineage: Bacteria; Pseudomonadati; Pseudomonadota. The record is from RNAcentral.